RNAcentral lists this ribosomal RNA (253 nucleotides) under uncultured bacterium. RNAcentral describes it as "partial 16S ribosomal RNA". It matches the Rfam family "Bacterial small subunit ribosomal RNA", at positions 524 to 776 of the family's 1533-position model. The record is from RNAcentral.
UACGGGGGGGGCGAGCGUUGUUCGGAAUUAUUGGGCGUAAAGGGCGCGUAGGCGGUGCGGUAAGUCUGGUGUGAAACCUCCAGGCUCAACUUGGAGCUUGCAUCAGAAACUGCCGUGCUAGAGUGUGGGAGAGGAGAGUGGAAUUCCUGGUGUAGCGGUGAAAUGCGUAGAUAUCAGGAGGAACACCGGUGGCGAAAGCGGCUCUCUGGACCACAACUGACGCUGAGGCGCGAAAGCUAGGGGAGCAAACAGG